This 83-nucleotide microRNA precursor is filed under the name Erinaceus europaeus (western European hedgehog). Lineage: Eukaryota; Metazoa; Chordata; Mammalia; Eulipotyphla; Erinaceidae. The record is from RNAcentral.
GGUUCCCAGAGAGCUGGUAGACUAUGGAACACAGGCUUGAGAGUCUGGCCUAUGUCACAUAGUCCACUAGCUCUCGGUAGCCA